Molecule: long non-coding RNA, 237 nt
Filed under: Elaeis guineensis (African oil palm)
Lineage: Eukaryota; Viridiplantae; Streptophyta; Magnoliopsida; Arecales; Arecaceae
Description: long non-coding RNA (EGUI_LNC012804)
Source: RNAcentral
CAUCAUAUGACCAUCUUGUUGUGCCCCUCAGAUCAAUGAUCAGGUUGGCCAAGCCACACUUGAGUCUGGGUAUUCGUUUGUUGGAUGCACUUGGUGUAGUCAUGUUAAUGGUUGGACUUAAUCAGAAUUUUCAGUGGAGGCACCACACACCUGCUGGAGAGAUGUCUGGGAUAAAAUUUAAUUGCUAAAAAUUAUUUGAUAAAAUAAUUAGUUAAGAAUCUACCUAUGGAUGCACUA